AAUCUGCUUUCCUCAGCAGCGACGUCGACUAGCCAUACUCCUCACAACUCAUGGUAAGUAACGUUAGUCAGCUAAUCCUACUUACGUUUGUAACACUUUAUUAUAAAGUUAAUAAUUAUUAAGCAUUUCCUAACAAUUGUCUUUGUAUUUUACGUCAUCUUCAAAAAGUUUCAUAGCUUAAUCGAAGUCACCUGAAGGACGGCUUUCCUCAGCAACGGCAAGACCCGCACUCCUCUCAUAUCGUGAAGUUUAACAAGUUUCGCGGCUCAAGCAAGAGGCACCUGUCACUGAAGGACUGCUUUUCUCAGCAACGACGUGAACAGCAUUACUUGAAUUUCCUGGUUCAGCUGAUCUACCCGUCUUCGUACAAGCAGAGUUGGCAGAGGAGGUCAUAAAAAUCGAAAUCCUUCGGGACAAUUAUGGGACAGUC
This is a long non-coding RNA of Carassius gibelio (silver crucian carp), 430 nucleotides long. RefSeq lists it as uncharacterized. The record is from RefSeq and is a predicted model, not a curated record. The transcript has 3 exons. Lineage: Eukaryota; Metazoa; Chordata; Actinopteri; Cypriniformes; Cyprinidae.